AACGAACGCUGGCGGCAUGCCUAACACAUGCAAGUCGAACGAGACCUUCGGGUCUAGUGGCGCACGGGUGCGUAACGCGUGGGAACCUGCCCUUAGGUUCGGAAUAACUCCCCGAAAGGGGUGCUAAUACCGGAUAAUGUCUUCGGACCAAAGAUUUAUCGCCUUUGGAUGGGCCCGCGUUGGAUUAGCUAGUUGGUAGGGUAAAAGCCUACCAAGGCGACGAUCCAUAGCAGGUCUGAGAGGAUGAUCAGCCACACUGGGACUGAGACACGGCCCAGACUCCUACGGGAGGCAGCAGUGGGGAAUAUUGGACAAUGGGCGAAAGCCUGAUCCAGCAAUGCCGCGUGAGUGAUGAAGGCCUUAGGGUUGUAAAGCUCUUUUACCCGGGAUGAUAAUGACAGUACCGGGAGAAUAAGCGCCGGCUAACUCCGUG
RNAcentral lists this ribosomal RNA (433 nucleotides) under uncultured bacterium. RNAcentral's name for it is "partial 16S ribosomal RNA". It matches the Rfam family "Bacterial small subunit ribosomal RNA", at positions 29 to 507 of the family's 1533-position model. The record is from RNAcentral.